This 3371-nucleotide long non-coding RNA is filed under the name Setaria viridis. RNAcentral's name for it is "long non-coding RNA (SVIR_LNC011435)". Lineage: Eukaryota; Viridiplantae; Streptophyta; Magnoliopsida; Poales; Poaceae. The record is from RNAcentral.
CAAUAUAACAUAUAGCUCGACAAGACACAUCUAUACAAAUCGCAGCACUGCUAAACUUGCACAGGGUAAUUGAGUAUACUUCCAGUUCCUCAGGCCGGUACAGCUACAGGUCUUUGGCUGGUCUUGAUUCCUUUGAUAGCUGCAGAAUUGCAUGAGGAGAAUCAAUAAGAAAUUUAGUAUCACUUGGUAAUGUAUACUUGAUUCGAAACCUAUAUGAAAUUUCAAAUUUUGAAUAUCAAAAGUAGACAAUUGAAUAUGGAUGCUAUCGAGAAGAAAACACGCCUGCAGCAUAGUCUGGAGCUCCAAAAACUGCAGAACCAGCAACGAUGGCAUUCGCCCCAGCUUCAAUGACCUGCAUGUAAGGAAAUGUUAGCUCCUAGCUGGACCAGAAGUUCAGGAUUGAUCCGUGAAAUGAGAGGAUAAAGUUAAAUGGCAGCACGAAAAAAAUCUAGACAUGUUACCUUGUAGGCAUUGUUAGGACCAACACCACCAUCAACCUCAAUCCAGGGGUUCACUCCCUACAAAACAAAAAAAAUAAAUAAAUUUUCGAUGCUUUGAACGUCAGGGCAGUGAGAAUACUUGCAAGCAAACAAGGGGUAUACCUUCUCUGCACAUAACCUUCUCAAGUCUGCAAUUUUCUUUACUUGACUCUCAAUAAAGCUCUGGCCACCAAACCCAGGAUUGACAGACAUGAUCAAGACCAGGUCAACAACUGCACACAAAAAUUGAAGUAAUGCGAUUAGAGUGUCAGUACAUGUUGGCUUUUCAGUUAUUAGGGCAGUGAUGAAUUGAUGAGAAAAGUAGUUAAAUGUAUACUCAAGCAACUACAAAGUUUUACUGAGAUCUUGUCCAAUGCAAGCCUUGUGACUACAUGGUGGAUAGCCAAGAAAGUCAAGAGUGCCAUGUGGUCAAAACUAUCACCAAAUUCUUACAAGAAGAAGCACCAUUUUCCUCUUAAUAACUAAAAUCUCUAUUGUAGCUAUGCUGGUAGAAGAAAAGCAAAAUCAGUGGCGGAAUAACAGGAUUGAGUAGCCUGUUUAAAGUUUAAACUCCACAUGCCUACACGAAUGGCCUUGUACUUACUCCAAUAUCAAUCCUCAACAGUCAUCAUUUACUAUUAGUUAUAAAUAACUAGUAAUGAAUAUAUUAUAGGGCUUUUGGAACCUAAAUGGCAAGAAUAGAUAGUCUGAACCUGGUCUAGUAACAUCAACAGACUUUUUGAACUUCACACACAUGUCAAGAUACCAGACACUGAAAUGAGCGUCAUGAUCUUACCAUCAAGAACAUAAUCUAUUGCGCUGAGUGGAGUCGCUGGAUUCAAAACAACUCCUGCCUUUGCUCCUAAACUUUUAAUCUGACAGAAAAUGGAAUACAACAUAAGUUCCAACAUUCACCAUGGCAUUAAAAGGGAUAACAUGACACCACAAUGGCUGGGAUAUUCAAAGAUCUGCAAAGCAACUUGUUGUGCCUAGUCCUAAAUCACAACUAUAGUACAUCUCGGAACGUGUUGCUUAUAGGCCUAACACUAACAUGUAACAAGUGUGCUCCUAUAGCACGAGCCUAGUAACAGUUCAACCUCACAAAUCACACACAGAAAAGGCACUCUCAUUUUCGAUAGCAGUCCAUGAUUCUAUACUAAAUCAUGAAUAAACAGAAGUACAAUGAAGUGUUUAAGUAUUAAUUGAAACCAUUUGUAUUGCAUAGCACCAUGUAAGCAGGAAAAAACACAUUCAUUGCUUUAUAUCCAAAUAAAAUUAAAGUUAUCAGCAAUAAACUCUAUUAACUGAGACAUUAACCGGUAACAUAAUGGUGGCGUAAAUGUUUACCUGAUUGACUGUUCGGUGCAAAUGGAUGGUUGAUGAUUGUUCACAGUGGACACUAACAAUAUCAGCACCUGCCUUAAUAAAAUCUGGGACUCGCUGCUCAGGUUCCACAAUCAUCUGCAGUAAAAAUCAGAAAUCUCCACAUUCAGCAGGGGUCAACAAGGGAUGAAAGUACAUCAUAUAAGAACCUAGAACUUGACUGGGGCUUCCAGAACAAUACCAGAUGUACAUCCAAUGGAAGAUCAGUCACUGGACGCAGAGCAUCAACAACCAAAGGUCCAAUCGUGAUAUUUGGCACAAAGCGUCCAUCCAUGACAUCGACAUGAAUCCAAUCACAUCCUGCCAGCUCCACAGCUUUUACCUAGUAAUGUUAAACAUCAUGGCAAGAUGAGCACAGAAUAUUUGUACAUUGGCAUCAAGAAAAUGCAUGUUAUUUACACCAGAGCUUAUUCCAUUGCCUUAUUUGUAGGGAAAGAAGUUGCUUAUGAGCUGGUGGAACAGGAAUACAUUGUGUAAGGCCAAAUUUGCUGAUGAAUGGAUGAAUAUGGCAUUAUCAAGCUAUUCCGUCAAUAGUAGCCUAACAUGCGUGUAUGACAUAUUCCCAAGCAAUGGUCAGUGCAAAAAAAACAUGUCAAUGAAAUGGAGUUUGGUGGAUGUUGGUAUCUUAACGGACCUGCUCACCAAGCUUGGAAAAGUUUGCGGAUAGAAUGGAAGGUGACACAAUGAUGUCAUUCUUUGAGAACUUGUCGACCCGAGAUGUUGCCCUCACUUGGAAUGCCUUCCUGGAAACCACAAAACAAAACAAAAUGAACUUAAGCUCACAGUUCAGAACAAAAAGAAGCAAGAACCAAACAACAAAGUCGCCAUCAAAUGCCCUGACUAGAUUUGGUUUUCUUUCUUUCUUUUUUUUGGCCCCUUUCCCUUGUUCUCUCGUCAACAGGUAACAUGGACCGAAGAUCACAUAAAGAGCAUCAUGGACAUGGGAGCUGUUAACUUCAGCAUAAGCAAGGACGAUCGAUUGCAUUUCCAGACUGACGAAUUUCACCACAAGCAACAUCAAAGUAACAUACGCAAUUCUUAUCCUCGCCACCCACUAUGACAAACUAUUCGUUGUCAGGGACUCGGGCCAUUUGAUCCAGAGCGCGCAAUCCAUGUUCUGCUUCGCCGACGGCAUAGCUCACAGUUUGCAGCAGCGCCGCUCGGAGCCAUCGGGGAGGCAACGGAACAAGGGAUCGCAAGUAACUUCCGACGAGGAGCGAGAUGGAACAGAAUCGAGCAGGGGGUCAAACCGCCCGCCGCCAUGCUAGAUGCUACUACCUCGCGCGCGGGCGCCGACACGGCGAAACGGGAAGAGGGAGAAGGGAGUGGGCCAACCUGGGGGAGGAGAAGGCGAGGCCGCGGCGGUGGCCGAGGGAGGCCGUCCGCAGGGAUGCGAAGCUGGAGCAUAGCGACGACGACGGCGACGCCAUCUGACUACCUGCCAAAGCCACCAACUCUUCCCUUCCGGCUCUUGGCUUGGUGCACGAGCAGCUUUGUUUUCUCUGGGUC